ACGGAGGCAGCAGUGGGGAAUAUUGGGCAAUGGGCGCAAGCCUGACCCAGCAACGCCGCGUGAAGGAAGAAGGCUUUCGGGUUGUAAACUUCUUUUAAGGGGGAAGAGUAGAAGACGGUACCCCUAGAAUAAGCCACGGCUAACUACGUGCCAGCAGCCGCGGUAAUACGUAGGUGGCAAGCGUUGUCCGGAUUUACUGGGUGUAAAGGGCGUGCAGCCGGGGAAGCAAGUCAGAUGUGAAAUCCAUGAGCUCAACUCAUGAACUGCAUUUGAAACUGUUUCUCUUGAGUACUGGAGAGGCAAUCGGAAUUCCUAGUGUAGCGGUGAAAUGCGUAGAUAUUAGGAGGAACACCAGUGGCGAAGGCGGAUUGCUGGACAGCAACUGACGGUGAGGCGCGAAAGUGUGGGGAGCAAACAGGAUUAGAUACCCUGGUA
Molecule: ribosomal RNA, 435 nt
Filed under: uncultured Oscillibacter sp.
Lineage: Bacteria; Bacillati; Bacillota; Clostridia; Eubacteriales; Oscillospiraceae
Description: partial 16S ribosomal RNA
Rfam family: Bacterial small subunit ribosomal RNA
Source: RNAcentral